AAAAGGGGGACAAAAUAAUCAAUGCCUGGUGACCUGGUGGUGAGGAUGAUGAUGAUAAUCUCAGCAUUGAUCUUUUUCAGAACUGGAAUGCCACCCUUUUGCCAGGAGGUUGGCUCAGAAAUGAACCCCAGAACUUGCCCCGCUUCUGUGCCCUAACACAAGGCAAAGCACUGUCAAGCAGUUUGAGGAAAAGAAAAAAAAAGGAACCAUUUGAGGAAGAUGGAGUAAAUGAUCAAGCCUCUGUAGGCAAUUCUGAAGUCUGAUCUUCUAAAGCAUUGCUGCCAGAGAAGAGGCCACAGGAGGCAUGUUAGGUUCAGGCCAUUUGACCUGCAGUGCCUCUACCAGUCUGGAUUUUAGGGACUGCGUACUCUGGGUACAGUUUAAUCUGUUCUUCUACCCUCUGUAUUUUAUGUAAAUUGGAAGCUGGAUUCAAAGGCUUGGUAAGACUCAGGUUAGAUCCCUCGGUAAGACUAUUCUUUCUUUUGAGGGCACAAUAAUAACAUUUGCUUCUUUUUCUGUGUUGUCAGUAGCUACUUAAUGUCUAGAUCUAUCGAUUCUUAGAGAUUGCCAGUGAUAUUUUAAUUCCAUCAUUUAAAAAAUGUAUUAGUUGGGAUAAUUUAUACAAGACACUUCUCUCAUAUAUUAUUUGGUUACCUGCUAGUACAGUUCAUAUAGGAAAAGCAGCAUAAUAAAUGCUUGGUUACAAUUGAUUCCCUACCAGCCUCUGAAGGCAAUCAAUCAGUUUAAAAAAAAAAAACUAUUUUGCUCUCAUAUUCCAUACUAUAGCUCAUGAUUCAUUGAAAUUAACGGCAAUGCUGAUAAUACUUUCUACUAUUUCUUGAGUGCCUACUAUGUGCCAAGCAUUUUGCCUGAUACUUAUCACAAUGUAAGAUGCAAAAGCUUUUGAUAUGUGUAUCAUCAACACCUUUAACCCUGGUUAACUCCACUCACCUACCAACCAUCUUAAAAGUUAUAAUGAGAAAGUGAUACUACAAUCUGUACUGAAUUAUAAGCACUGCCACUGGGUUAGGAGAUGUUCAGUCAUCUGUAAUUAAAGUGAAUCUGAAUAUGUUUAUUUUACUUGUUAUUUGCCCACAGAUUCACACUGUUCCCAUUUUGCAAGUGUGCUGUGCCUGCUUUUAACUUUUCAUAUUUGAAGGAAAGUCAGUCCUUAAAAAUUAAAAGUAAAAAAUUACAGACUUUCAAUAAAGUUUAAAGGGAUCCAUUUUAACCUUAAAUCAGGAAAAAAGAAGGCAAAAUGAGUCACGAAGCUGACAGAGUAGAAGAUGGAAAGACCCUAAAGAGGACUUGCCACCCAAUGUGACAGUGCAGGACAGUGUCUGCUCUGGAUCCUCAUUCUGUUUAUCAAAGAGGAACAAUAAGAAUUCUUCAAAGGAAACACUGAGCAGAGCUGGAAGGGCAACCUCUGAUGUAUCCAUCUUAAUACACCGCUUCCAUUAAAUGACAUCUGUAUUUCCUGACCAAGAGUUGGAAGACCUUUGAUAUAUUAAGAUCCCUUCUUGCAAAAGUAUAUUGGCAUCAAAGGACUGGGUAAUAUUCUAAAAGGGGAAUGUGGAAACCUCACCUCCAGAAGAACAAGAGCAUCAACGUAAGGAGCUUUGGAAUGAGGGAAGUUAAACAUUGGACAGAGAGAACUUCUUCAGAGUGAAAAACUAAAGCAAUGCCAAAAUUUCAUUCUAACCGAAAUGAUUAAUCCCAAUACAUUUUUCUUAUUGCCCUAAAUAUUUCUUUGAUAAUGUCCAAAUCUGAAUACAUGGCAUCAGAAAUUCUUACGGCAAAACAUUACUGUCCAGAAUCAAAUAAUACAUUUGUAGCGUGAAGUACAUGGUCUCCUCUAUUCGCUUGUGGGCCUCAGGUGCUAGAUAGAGUACAGUGUGUGUGUGCAAACAUGCAUACGUGUAUAUGUGUGCAUGGGCUCUGACUUUGCCUCCAUAAGGUUUAGAGUGGCUCAGCACAGCAGGCGCUGCUAUAUUAACUACCACCUUUGAGCUUGCCUUGCUAAGAAAGAAAAACUUCUUACGACCAAGUGAAAAGUGCGCCA
This is a long non-coding RNA of Aethalodelphis obliquidens (Pacific white-sided dolphin), 2062 nucleotides long. RefSeq lists it as uncharacterized. The transcript has 3 exons. NCBI's taxonomy places the organism in Eukaryota, Metazoa, Chordata, Mammalia, Artiodactyla, Delphinidae. The record is from RefSeq and is a predicted model, not a curated record.